RNAcentral lists this long non-coding RNA (3143 nucleotides) under Neogobius melanostomus (round goby). RNAcentral describes it as "lncRNA (ENSNMLG00000009420.1)". The record is from RNAcentral. Lineage: Eukaryota; Metazoa; Chordata; Actinopteri; Gobiiformes; Gobiidae.
CGUCUGCUCAUGUGUGACCUUGAUGGCCGAAAAACUCACAGUAACCAUUCACUUUGGUAUACUUAACAAAAUCUGUUUUUACGGCUGAUUGGAGGGGGCUAUCUGAUUGCAAGUCAGAGCUGAUGCAGAGACAGGUCAUUUGCUGUAUAUAGUCACUUUAAUUAGCUCUGGUCAAGGCUAAAAUUCUCUUUAUAUGUCCCUUAGAGGGAAACAUUUGGAGCAGCUAAACCAGUGCUUCUCCAUUGGUGGCUCAGGUCUCAAAAGUGGGUCGCAGGUGCAUCUUCAGUGGGUAGUUGUGAGCCUUUGCCAAGACAAAUGUUGAUAUAUAGUUUUGUUAGUUAGCCUGAUGAUAAAAGCUCAAAACAACAGAACCUUUGGAUUAAGUAUUGUGGCAGUAUGCCUGCAGGCGGGCACUGCCACUUGUAGUUUUGAUGGUGAUUGGCUGUGCGCGCCAGCUGUCACCUGAUAAAUAGCACUUCCGUUAAUUGUUUGACCUCUGACUUCCUGUACGCCCAGUCUUGUGUUGUGGUUGUUGCUCCUCGUCACUCUCCAGUCCAGGUAGUAUCCUAUUGGUCGCUAAAUCUAAAUAUCUUAAGUUGGUAUUAACUAUAUUGUUAACGUUUAGUUUGUCGCGGCGCCUUCAUGGGCCCGCGGUCUCCCUGUAACUGGUCAUGCUAGUAGUUGAGUGGAUUGGCUGCGUUGACUCGGACUCCGCUGUCAAAGCCCCGAGCCAUGCAAAUGCCCCGCUCAGACGUCUGGGACCAAGGAGAGUCGUCACUGCCGCCUGCCUUUUUCCUUGCCCUUUUUCUCCGCCCUUUUACCACCUUUUUGUUCGCCUGUUCUGUUAUUAUUCCCCUGUCACUGGAUUCGUGGAGCGCCGUAGGUGCGCAACGUCAUGGGUAGACUGUGGUAACUGAAAUAUGGACUGAAAACAAGUAACCAAACGAACUGUGAAACGACUUUGGAACAACAUGAUUUUAACUAAAGAAUGUGAAAAUAAAUGUAAAACUUUUCUAUAAAGUGCCUGGCCUCUAUGAUCCAUCUACUCAACAACGAACCUACGUGCUUUACUUAGUUCUGGUGCUGGCCAUCUCCAGCUGGCGUUGUCUGGCAAUCUUAUGUUUAAAACAGCUAAGUUAACCCUCGCAUUGCCACAGUAUUUUAAUAUUCAAUUGGCCCGGUGGUUUUUAACCUGGAGGUCAGAAAUGUUUUUUUUUUUUAAAGUCAUAUUUUUAGGUGGGUCACAGAGGUUGAAUCCUGAAACUACAUCAGUUGAGAACAAUUAACAAUCAAUUGAACAAUACUGAACUAAAAUCAACCCUUUUUAUUAUUUAUUUUUUAUUUGUACAAUGCGUAGAAGUAGAAGUUGUAACUGCCUCAAGAAUAUGGUUGUACAGUUUUUCCCAGUAGCUUUGGCCCAGAUCACCGCUGGUCAUUUAAAAAGUUUGAAAGUUUGAUAAAUAAUCUGUACAAACAGCAAAAUGCAAUGUAACAAUUGCAGAAUCACAUCACCAGCUCAAAAGCUUAAUAACUGAAUUAAAGUUAAGGAUUUGUAUCAGGGAAAGCUCUCAUAAUGCAAAGGUCUUUAUUGUUUAUGGACAUAUCAAAAUGCUUCACUAUUUUCAAUGUACUGAAGAAAUAAAGUAAGAGAUAUCACAGAUUGAAGUUCCAUGUGACUGUCUUGGUCUUGAAAAUAAGUUCAACACAACAUUGUUUGAAUGGCUAAUCACACACUGUUUUAAGUGUUAACAGAAAAUGGUAAGUAACUCAUCAGUGGUUUCCAAAAGAUAGUUGACAUAACUACAGUAUUAUUGUAGUAUCAUUGUGCUUCUUACAAAUUCUGACGUUCAUUUCUGUUGGGCCAAAGAUUCUCCCCUAGAUCACAAAGUAUAUUUUCAGUGGGGAAAUAAUCUUCUGACCUCAUAUCCAGCUUCUGCAGGUCCUGCUGUGAUCUCACACGCUGUAUCCAUGGCAGCAACAGGCCAUUUGAGUGGACACUGAUAAUAUUCUUUUAUCUUCAUGGAGAGUAAAAUUCCAACCCAUCCAGGAAUUUAAACGACAGGCAUUAACAAUUACUGUACAAUUAUAUUUAAUAGCAGUUCUGAUUUGAGACUUAAGCCAAAACUGAGAGAAAAAAAAAAUCACAUCGUAUCAUAUACAGUACAUUAUUGUACUUUUAUUGAGUUAUUUAGGAAAACAAGGCAAACCUAGAGGCAAACAAAGAGUUUUCACAGGGAGUCUUAAUUUAUAUUUCACAUGCAAUUUGGAUUCCAUGUAAUUUGUAAAUUAGUUGAAGCUUGUAUUGAAUUGUGGUUAACGUGUGAAAGCCUUGCACCAGUCUUUCAGGGUCUGUAAGGCUUGGUCAUUUGUUCUGCAUUUUACUAAUCCCUGCAGCGUUUCAUGGUAGACCACAUGAACAUCUUGAAUGACGUUCUGAUGUCCAUGGUUCAGCUGGACCUCUGCUGGAGAAAUGUCUUUCCUCGAAUGAUGCAUUAUCAAUAGAAUAACAUUCUUUCCACUUGCCCCACCUAAAAAGAAAACAAACAAACAUUACAAUAAAAAGGAGGCCAAAAAUCUCCAUGGAAAUGUCUGGGUUUUACCUGGGAUAUUCCUAAUGGCGUCGUCCACAUCCAACCCAACACGAGAGGUUACUGGGCAGAAGACCACCACCACAUCACAGUCUGCUGGGCUGGAACAGACUUCCAUGUCAACCUGUUUGAGGAUCUGUGUGUCUGCGCCGUAGGUUUUAGCAGCAACCACAGGGAAGACUUUCACUUUUACGGAAGGCUUCAGAAAUUCUGGCCUUGAAGGCAUUGAAAACUGUUCCCACCAACUGCCUAAGGGGAAAAGUUUACUGAACAGGCUUUGUUGCUUUUUUUCACUGAUAAACAUUUGCUAAUGCAGUGACAAAUGCACUGCUGAGCAUAACUUAAAUGCUUCAUAAAAACACGGCAUACCUUCGUCUUUUGCUUCUCAGGUGAUCUGUCUUUCAGGAAUUUGUUUAAGGCCAAUAAUAAACCAUUUAGGUUAUUGACAUUGUAGUCCUUCUGCUGGUAGUCAGAGACGACCUGUUUGAGGCCUUUAAGAGAAAGACAAAUGUUUUUAUUGCAAUAUCCAUGACAGGUGGAUGCUUAUUGUUGCCA